GGCUUGGUAGCGCUCGGAGUGCAUCUGCAUCUGCUUCGUGGAGAUAACUGCUCAGUACAGCAGAAGGAACGCGUUCGACUCGCGUCCAAGCCA
This is a non-coding RNA of Mycena epipterygia, 93 nucleotides long. The record is from the annotation of a GenBank genome assembly. Lineage: Eukaryota; Fungi; Basidiomycota; Agaricomycetes; Agaricales; Mycenaceae.